Long non-coding RNA from Zea mays, 1415 nucleotides. RefSeq lists it as uncharacterized. The transcript has 2 exons. NCBI's taxonomy places the organism in Eukaryota, Viridiplantae, Streptophyta, Magnoliopsida, Poales, Poaceae. The record is from RefSeq and is a predicted model, not a curated record.
AUUAAGACCCAGCCUCACUUCCCUAACCCUAACCGGCCGCCACCUAAACCUAGCGCGCGCCACUCUCCCUGGCAGCCGCCGCCAGGAAGCCUCCACUCCAGCGCCCGAGCGCGACGGCACGAGGCCGUGAGCACCUGCAGCCCGCAGAGGCAGUGCCGCUGCCUGCCUUCGUCCGAGCGAGCGAGCCCAGGCGGCCAGGCCCUAAGGGCUGACCGAGCCGCCGCUGGCCGCUGCGCGCGAGCAGCCGCUGAGCUGCCUCCGAGCCAGCCGCCACCCGCCAGGCCGCCAGCACGGUCGCGCUGCCCACCCUGGUACGCCAAUCCUCAUCUCUAUGCGGCGCCCAAGAAAACUCUGCACAAAGCUCAACUGGUCAGCUCCUUUUGCUAACUCUAUGAUCAAUUAUAUCUGUAUGUAAGACCUACAUGUAUGUUCUCACCGGAUCCCAGCUCUAAGAGGUUGAAAUUAGUCCUCGUCUCCCACUUUGCAAAGUCCUGGUGGUCUGAAACAAUAGAAAAGCCAUUGUAUGUAGCGUAAAAAUGCAUGGAAUUCACUAUCACAUAAUAGCAAAUCUGGAUGCUAGACACACGUAUCGGUCUUCUGUGACAAUCAUGGUACAAGGUUUACCUCGAUGAUUAUUCUUUUCUGAGACCCAUCAUCCUCCAACACUGGUAUAUCAUUUUAUUUAAUUCUACUAUUUAAUUUAAUUUAAUGCUACUUGCAAGAAUGCAUAGUGUACACUAUAUAAUUCAAUGCUACGAACUUUACACUUGGAAAUUACCUGAUUUUAGUUGUGGCGGCCCUGGACCUCUGUAACACAAAUGGAGAGGCAUAUGUAAACACCUUACUUGUAGCUUGUGUGUUAGUAGUUCCAUUUGACUUCAAUGAGGAUAAAGGCAGUGCAAAAGGUCCCAAAGGUCCAAACUCUAUAGUCUCCGGUGCCGGCCGUCGACACCAAGCAGGCCUUGAGCUUGUGGCAGCCGUGGUGAUCGGUCUUAUCACCAGUGGUGUCGUUAGAUGCCAAAUGCAGUUUGCUCUGCACGAGGAUUUUGCUUUCUGGUGUCUGUCCCGUUGGAACCGGGGAUUUCCUGAGUGACGAAUAGACUUCCCAUGGCAGCUAUUCUGUUGAGGAUGUGGGAAAGGUGCACUGCAGAGUCUGAGAAGUGAGAGAAAUAAAUGACAAGUGGUUUCAACUAAACCAAGCACCACAGUUGGAGGUCAAAUCCUUGGAAGACAAUAUUGUGAAGUUAUUGUAGCUUGUGUGCUAAAACGAGAUACAGUUUUGCCUCGCCCUGGAGUGAUGUCGUUGUGGUGCUUUUGUGACUGAUCAUCUCUGGAGCUUUUGUGAAUGAUCUAGCUAGAUAUCUGUAAAUGAUCUAGUUGUGAAUGAUAUUAUAAUUGUGAUGCUUUUGUGAAUA